This is a non-coding RNA of Aspergillus campestris IBT 28561, 80 nucleotides long. The record is from the annotation of a RefSeq genome assembly. Lineage: Eukaryota; Fungi; Ascomycota; Eurotiomycetes; Eurotiales; Aspergillaceae.
GCCAGUUUGGUGUAAUUGGUAACACGUCUCCUAGCCCGCGAGGGCAGGAGGAGCUACAGGUUCGAGUCCUCGCACUGGCA